RNAcentral lists this small RNA (1777 nucleotides) under Pan troglodytes (chimpanzee). Its description in RNAcentral is "retained intron". The record is from RNAcentral. Lineage: Eukaryota; Metazoa; Chordata; Mammalia; Primates; Hominidae.
GACCUGGCGCCGCGGCCGAGGCGCGAACAGACGGACGCACGGGCGAGCGCCGAGGGGACAGGCCGAGCGCGGGGCGCCGGAGGCAGGUGUGGGACAGGCACUGGCCUCAGACCGGGGCCACACUGAGGUCUGCCCUUCUCCCGCUGGCCGCCACCCAGGACACCAUGAGCCAGUCCGGGGCCGUGAGCUGCUGCCCGGGUGCCACCAAUGGCAGCCUGGGCCGGUCCGACGGUGUGGCCAAGAUGAGCCCCAAGGACCUGUUUGAGCAGAGGAAGAAGUAUUCCAACUCCAACGUCAUCAUGCACGAGACUUCGCAGUACCACGUCCAGCACCUGGCCACAUUCAUCAUGGACAAGAGCGAAGCCAUCACGUCUGUGGACGAUGCCAUCCGGAAGCUGGUGCAGCUGAGCUCCAAGGAGAAGAUCUGGACCCAGGAGAUGCUGCUGCAGGUGAACGACCAGUCGCUGCGGCUGCUGGACAUCGAGUCUCAGAGUGCCCAGACCCCGGGUGCGAGUCAUGUCCGCGCGAUGUACCCGCAGGAGGAGCUGGAAAACUUCCCGCUGCCCACGGUGCAGCGCAGCCAGACGGUCCUCAACCAGCUGCGCUACCCGUCUGUGCUGCUGCUCGUGUGCCAGGACUCGGAGCAGAGCAAGCCGGAUGUCCACUUCUUCCACUGCGACGAGGUGGAGGCAGAGCUGGUGCACGAGGACAUCGAGAGCGCGUUGGCCGACUGCCGGCUGGGCAAGAAGAUGCGGCCGCAGACCCUGAAGGGACACCAGGAGAAGAUUCGGCAGCGGCAGUCCAUCCUGCCUCCUCCCCAGGGCCCGGCACCCAUCCCCUUCCAGCACCGCGGCGGGGAUUCCCCGGAGGCCAAGAAUCGCGUGGGCCCGCAGGUGCCACUCAGCGAGCCAGGUAGGCCGAGGGGCUGGAGGGGGCUCCACAGGGCUCAUUGUGGGGGGCUCGGUGAGCAGCCGCCGUGUCCCCCAUCAGGUUUCCGCCGUCGGGAGUCGCAGGAGGAGGAGCCGCGGGCCGUGCUGGCUCAGAAGAUAGAGAAGGAGACGCAAAUCCUCAACUGCGCCCUGGACGACAUCGAGUGGUUUGUGGCCCGGCUGCAGAAGGCGGCCGAGGCUUUCAAGCAGCUGAACCAGCGGAAGAAGGGGAAGAAGAAGGGCAAGAAGGCGCCAGCAGGUGCAGGGGACAGGGACGGGGCCGGCAGGUGCAGGGGCCAGGGACGGGGACGGGGCCAGGGACAUCCAUGGGGGCUACUCAUGGAGGUGGAGGAAGGUCCAGCCCACACAGAUGGGCUGCAUGGGACAGAAGGCGCAGGGGCCGGGGAGAUCAGGGCCAGCCUGGCUCACGCGGUGCCUCCCAUGCCAGAGGGCGUCCUCACACUGCGGGCACGGCCCCCCUCUGAGGGCGAGUUCAUCGACUGCUUCCAGAAAAUCAAGCUGGCGAUUAACUUGCUGGUGAGUCCGGUGGCCCCAGCCCUGCCCCACUGUCUGUGCUGAGGGGAGGGUGGAGGCCCCGCCCCGCCCCGGCACCUGCUCACUUGUUCCCACCCCCAGGCAAAGCUGCAGAAGCACAUCCAGAACCCCAGCGCCGCGGAGCUCGUGCACUUCCUCUUCGGGCCUCUGGACCUGGUGCCUGGGGCCGGGCGGCAGGGGCGCGCAGGGUGGGGGCCCAGAGGCCUCUGGAGCAUCUCCCCGGGGUCGGGGUUGGGGCAGCAGGUGCCCGCCUUGGGCAGCCCGGUUCACGCUGUGUGGCCACUCUCCGUGGG